GAUCAUGGCUCAGGAUGAACGCUGGCUACAGGCUUAACACAUGCAAGUCGAGGGGAAACGGCAUUGAGUGCUUGCACUGAAUGGACGUCGACCGGCGCACGGGUGAGUAACGCGUAUCCAACCUUCCCGUUACUGCGGGAUAACCUGCCGAAAGGCAGACUAAUACCGCAUGUUCUUCGAUGACGGCAUCAGAUUCGAAGCAAAGAUUCUUCGGUAACGGAGGGGG
RNAcentral lists this ribosomal RNA (226 nucleotides) under uncultured bacterium. RNAcentral describes it as "partial 16S ribosomal RNA". It matches the Rfam family "Bacterial small subunit ribosomal RNA", at positions 15 to 230 of the family's 1533-position model. The record is from RNAcentral.